UACGAAGGGGGCUAGCGUUGUUCGGAAUUACUGGGCGUAAAGCGCGCGUAGGCGGUCAUGUAAGUCAGGGGUGAAAUCCCAGAGCUUAACUCUGGAAUGGCCUUUGAGACUGCAUGGCUAGAGAACGGGAGAGGUGAGUGGAAUUCCCAGUGUAGAGGUGAAAUUCGUAGAUAUCAGGAGGAACACCGGUGGCGAAGGCGGCCCACUGGGCAGUCACUGACGCUGAGGCGCGAAAGCUCGGGGAGCGAACGGG
Molecule: ribosomal RNA, 253 nt
Filed under: uncultured bacterium
Lineage: Bacteria
Description: partial 16S ribosomal RNA
Rfam family: Bacterial small subunit ribosomal RNA
Source: RNAcentral